This 878-nucleotide ribosomal RNA is filed under the name Petasospora hungchunana. RNAcentral describes it as "LSU rRNA". It matches the Rfam family "Eukaryotic large subunit ribosomal RNA", at positions 38 to 935 of the family's 3401-position model. Lineage: Eukaryota; Fungi; Ascomycota; Saccharomycetes; Phaffomycetales; Wickerhamomycetaceae. The record is from RNAcentral.
GCAUAUCAAUAAGCGGAGGAAAAGAAACCAACAGGGAUUGCCUCAGUAACGGCGAGUGAAGCGGCAAAAGCUCAAAUUUGAAAUCUGGUACCUUCGGUGCCCGAGUUGUAAUUUGAAGGUAGUUUUCUGGUGCUGGUCCUUGUCUAUGUUCCUUGGAACAGGACGUCAUAGAGGGUGAGAAUCCCGUCUGAUGGGGAAUCCAGUGCUUUGUAGAUUUCUACCGACGAGUCGAGUUGUUUGGGAAUGCAGCUCUAAGUGGGUGGUAAAUUCCAUCUAAAGCUAAAUAUUGGCGAGAGACCGAUAGCGAACAAGUACAGUGAUGGAAAGAUGAAAAGAACUUUGAAAAGAGAGUGAAAAAGUACGUGAAAUUGUUGAAAGGGAAGGGUAUUAGAUCAGACUUGGUGUUUUGUGAUUAUCUUCCCUUCUUGGGUUGUGCACUCGCAUUUCACUGGGCCAGCAUCGGUUUGGAUGGCAAGAUAAUGGCGAAGGAACGUGGCACUCCUCGGAGUGUGUUAUAGCCUUUGUUGAUGUUGCCUAUCUAGACCGAGGACUGCGGCUUCUGCCUAGGAUGCUGGCGUAAUGAUCUAAUACCGCCCGUCUUGAAACACGGACCAAGGAGUCUAACGUCUAUGCGAGUGUUUGGGUGUAAAACCCGUACGCGUAAUGAAAGUGAACGUAGGUGAGAGCCCCUCGGGGCGCAUCAUCGACCGAUCCUGAUGUCUUCGGAUGGAUUUGAGUAAGAGCAUAGCUGUUGGGACCCGAAAGAUGGUGAACUAUGCCUGAAUAGGGUGAAGCCAGAGGAAACUCUGGUGGAGGCUCGUAGCGGUUCUGACGUGCAAAUCGAUCGUCGAAUUUGGGUAUAGGGGCGAAAGACUAAU